RNAcentral lists this non-coding RNA (23 nucleotides) under Rattus norvegicus (Norway rat). Lineage: Eukaryota; Metazoa; Chordata; Mammalia; Rodentia; Muridae. The record is from RNAcentral.
UAUUUGGAAACAGGGUCUUUGCU